This 919-nucleotide ribosomal RNA is filed under the name uncultured organism. RNAcentral describes it as "bacterial SSU rRNA". It matches the Rfam family "Bacterial small subunit ribosomal RNA", at positions 91 to 1010 of the family's 1533-position model. The record is from RNAcentral.
ACGACCGGCGCACGGGUGAGUAACGCGUAUGCAACCUACCUUUGGCACGGGGACAGCCCGGGGAAACCCGGAUUAAUACCCGGUAUAGUCUAUUAUACACCUGUAUAAAAGACGAGAGCUACGGCGGCCAAAGAUGGGCAUGCGUGCCAUUAGUUAGUUGGUAGGGUAACGGCCUACCAAGGCAUCGAUGGCUACGGGGUCUAAAAGGAUGAGCCCGCACACUGGUACUGAGACACGGACCAGACUCCUACGGGAGGCAGCAGUGAGGAAUAUUGGUCAAUGGGUGGAAGCCUGAACCAGCCAUGCCGCGUGCAGGAAGACGGCCUUAUGGGUUGUAAACUGCUUUUCUACGGGACGAACGGCUCUGACGUGUCAGAGAUUGACGGUACCGUAGGAAUAAGCAUCGGCUAACUCCGUGCCAGCAGCCGCGGUAAUACGGAGGAUGCGAGCGUUAUCCGGAUUUAUUAGGUUUAAAGGGUGCGUAGGCUGGGCAAUAAGUCAGUGGUGAAAGUCCGCGGCUCAACCGUGGGAUUGCCAUUGAAACUGUUGUUCUUGAGUACAGUCGAGGUAGGCGGAAUGUGUAAUGUAGCGGUGAAAUGCAUAGAUAUUACCCAGAACACCGAUUGCGUAGGCAGCUUACCAGCCUGGAACUGACGCUGAUGCACGAAAGCGUGGGGAGCGAACAGGAUUAGAUACCCUGGUAGUCCACGCCGUAAACGAUGAUCACUCGCUGUUGGCAAUAUAGAGUCAGCGGCUGAGCGAAAGCAUUAAGUGAUCCACCUGGGGAGUACGUCGGCAACGAUAAAACUCAAAUGAAUUGACGGGGGCCCGCACAAGCGGUGGAACAUGUGGUUUAAUUCGAUGAUACGCGAGGAACCUUACCUGGGCUUAAAUGUAGCCGGACGAUUCCGGAAACGGG